AUGGAGAUCUUACUCCUAUUUCUGUGCGUCUUUUCAACGCUUAAGCAGGGAAUAGUCAAACCUCGAGAGUCCUUAACAUUGACCUGCACAGUCUCUGGUACCUUCAUCACUGAUGGAUAUCCUUACAACUGGAUCCGCAAGCCGCCAAGAAAAGGGCUGGAAUGGAUAGGAAGAGGAUACUACAGUAGCUCUACCUGGCGCACUAACUAUGCCUCAGCCUUCCAGAGCAGAGUCUCCAUCUCUCCUGACUCCUCCAAGAAUGAGAUUUCUCUCCAGCUGAGCUCCUUGACAGCUGCAGACACAGCCAUCUAUUAUUGUGCCCGAGAGCCACAUUAUUGUACAGACAACUGGAAAUCCUUAAGACUGACCUGCACAGUCUCUGGUGCCUCCAUCACUGAUGGAUAUGCUCACCACUGGAUCCGCCAGCCACCCAACAAAGGGCUGGAAUGGAUAGGAAGAAGAUACUACAGCAGUUCUACCUGGCACACUAACUAUGCCUCAGCCUUCCAGAGCAGAGCCUCCAUCUCUCCUGACUCCUCCAAGAAUGAGUUUUCUCUCCAGCUGAGCUCCUUGACAGCUGCAGACACUGCCAUCUAUUACUGUGCCCGAGACACACAGUGA
Molecule: non-coding RNA, 621 nt
Organism: Euleptes europaea (tarantolino)
Lineage: Eukaryota; Metazoa; Chordata; Lepidosauria; Squamata; Sphaerodactylidae
Source: the annotation of a RefSeq genome assembly